This 118-nucleotide ribosomal RNA is filed under the name Salmo salar (Atlantic salmon). Lineage: Eukaryota; Metazoa; Chordata; Actinopteri; Salmoniformes; Salmonidae. The record is from RNAcentral.
GCUCACGGCCAUAUCAGCCUGGGUACACCCGAUCUUGUCUGAUCUCGGAAGCUAAGCAGGGUCGGGCCUGGUUAGUACUUGGAUGGGAGACCCCUGGGAAUACCAGGUGCUGUAAGCA